GACGAACGCUGGCGGCGUGCCUAAUACAUGCAAGUCGAGCGGACAUUCCGGAGUGCUUGCACUCCGGAGGGUUAGCCGCGGACGGGUGUAACACGCGUAGGAACCCUGCCCAUCAGUGGGAGAUAAUAUUCGAAAACGAAUUCAGACACCGGAUAAACGGACUUCUCAUGUGACGGGAUUGGAAAAGGCGGUUCAUUCUGCCGAUUGAUGAUUCGGCGGCGGCGCAUGAGCUAGUUGGUGGGGUAACGGCCUACCAAGGCGACGAUGCGUAGCCGACCUGAGAGGGUGAUCGGCCACACUGGGACUGAGACACGGCCCAGACUCCUACGGGAGGCAGCAGUAGGGAAUCUUCCGCAAUGGGCGCAAGUCUGACGGAGCAACGCCGCGUGAGUGAUGAAGGUCUUCGGGUCGUAAAGCUCUGUUGUCAGGGAAGAACAAGUGGGGAAGUAACUGUGCUUGCCAUGACGGUACCUAAGAAGAAAGCCCCGGCUAACUACGUG
Molecule: ribosomal RNA, 500 nt
Filed under: uncultured bacterium
Lineage: Bacteria
Description: partial 16S ribosomal RNA
Rfam family: Bacterial small subunit ribosomal RNA
Source: RNAcentral